RNAcentral lists this ribosomal RNA (259 nucleotides) under uncultured bacterium. RNAcentral describes it as "partial 16S ribosomal RNA". It matches the Rfam family "Bacterial small subunit ribosomal RNA", at positions 793 to 1055 of the family's 1533-position model. The record is from RNAcentral.
GUCCACGCCGUAACGUUGGGCACUAGGUGUGGGACUCUAUCGACGGGUUCCGUGCCGUAGCUAACGCAUUAAGUGCCCCGCCUGGGGAGUACGGCCGCAAGGCUAAACUCAAAGGAAUUGACGGGGCCCGCACAAGCGGCGGAGCGUGUGGCUCAAUUCGAUGCAACGCGAAGAACCUUACCUGGGCUUGACAUGUACGGUAAAGCGGGUGAAAGCCCGUGUGCUUCGGCGCCGUACACAGGUGGUGCAUGGCUGUCGU